AUGGAAAGCUGUUGGGAAGAUUUCUUAUAUUUAAGGUGUUAAAAUUACUUUUCUGUCUUAUUUAGCAAGCCUGCAUAGACUGAAUAGGAGCCAAAGCAGCAGCCUGCCGAAGCUGCCUCUCUUCCCAGACUAC
Molecule: long non-coding RNA, 133 nt
Filed under: Phasianus colchicus (ring-necked pheasant)
Lineage: Eukaryota; Metazoa; Chordata; Aves; Galliformes; Phasianidae
Description: lncRNA (ENSPCLG00000001891.1)
Source: RNAcentral